GGGGAAAUAGUUAAAUGGUAGAAUGUCCAUCAGUUGAAUAGGCUGAGGGUUGGUAUAGGUUCGACUCCUGUUUUCUCCACAA
RNAcentral lists this transfer RNA (82 nucleotides) under Elizabethkingia anophelis. RNAcentral describes it as "tRNA-Asn". It matches the Rfam family "tRNA". From Rfam's summary of the family: Transfer RNA (tRNA) molecules are approximately 80 nucleotides in length. Their secondary structure includes four short double-helical elements and three loops (D, anti-codon, and T loops). The record is from RNAcentral. Lineage: Bacteria; Pseudomonadati; Bacteroidota; Flavobacteriia; Flavobacteriales; Weeksellaceae.